CAAUAAAACUUGACUCCCACCCACCAACAAUGUGGCAGUGUCAUUCACCCCUACUAGACGGUUCACUGCUAUUGACAUGCGAUUUUGGUCAGCAGUUGUUGUGUCCACCACUCUGCUCUCAGAAAGCUCUUGGAUGCUGUUUGUGCCGAACUGUGCCCACCCCCUCACCUACACGUACAGUAACUGGCCAUCUUUACCUUGAGCUCUGCAAAUAAGGAUCUUCCAGAGUCUUUGAAAGGAGGACUGAAGAUCUGAACAUCAGUUUUGAAGCAGUGGCCAGUUUGUUUAGAGGACCUGACUGAAAAUGUCCAUAAAGAGGAGACUACUCUCCAUGUUGUUGUGCUGUGCGUAUUGCGUGGCAUCACUCUUCUGCCUUCACCCAGACAGAAACAACUGUGUCUCGCAUGGUGCCCGGAAUCGGGUAUCACUUGUUCAGCAGCUGUACCAACGUGUGAUGAGGCUUCUACGCACCACUCUGUGAGUUGUCUCAAACUAGAGGGGAGGUGAAACCACAAGGAUCAUCUACAGACUACUUAUCAAGAGACAGAUCAGUAUUACUGAUAUAAAAUGACAGACAUUUGAGCAUGAACACUUUAAAAGAUAUUCCCCAACAUGGUUAAAGGUGCCUCUCCUUGUAAGAAAGGUUGAAGAGUGCAUUGGGAAUGAUACUGGCGUGGCUUUGUGGGAGGGUAGUCCUGAUAAAGAAGGAAUGUUUUGCUUGUAGUAAAACUGCAAUAUGCUAUAUCAGAACUUAAAUGAUGAUCCUCAUGACAGUAUUUAGACCAAAUGCUUAGACUAUAUAGAGACAAGAUGUGAUUCUUUGGUUGAACAAAGAUACAUUAUUAUGAAUUAACAAAGAUUUUUUUCUUUGCAGUCUUUAAAGUAAAGCUGAGGUGUGACUGACAGAGUUUCUUAUACCACAACCUUCAUAAUCCUGAGGGAUAAUUGUUAUAAAAGGUUAUCUGUAAAAAGUUAUAUGUACAAGGUCUGUUGUGAGAAUGUACAGCAUUUGGCCAGACAUGCUGUACAUAAUAAAUUUUUCUUUCUGUAUUUUAUUUUCUUACACCUUGUUUUACAGGGAAAGGAGUGCAGACUGUUGAAUACUUUAUUUUACUCCUGAAUGAGUGACACAAAAUGUCAAAAUGUUUAAAAAUGAAA
Molecule: long non-coding RNA, 1158 nt
Organism: Myxocyprinus asiaticus (Chinese sucker)
Lineage: Eukaryota; Metazoa; Chordata; Actinopteri; Cypriniformes; Catostomidae
Exons: 3
Source: RefSeq, a predicted model, not a curated record